This 6592-nucleotide long non-coding RNA is filed under the name Sus scrofa (pig). RNAcentral describes it as "lncRNA (ENSSSCG00040041368.1)". Lineage: Eukaryota; Metazoa; Chordata; Mammalia; Artiodactyla; Suidae. The record is from RNAcentral.
GGUGUACAGCGCUGGACAGUGAAAUUGAGAGCAAGGAGCUCUGACACUGCUUUUCCCGAGGCGGCUGUGCCGUCCUUCCGCAGUGUUCCUUGUCGGGGACACAGGCUGUCCAGCCGGGCAGCUUCGGUGUGAUGAGAUCUGGACAUGGUUCAGUCACCCUUCCUCACUCACGGGGAAUUGCGGUUCUCAAUACCAGGGCAGCUGACCCCCGGAGGGCAGCUCCGACUGGUGGAUUUGCUGACCCGUAGGCAGCCGCGUUACUGUUUCAGGACACGCUCAGUGCCUUCUGCCCAAGGUGGCUGGGGGCGAACCAUGCCUUUCCACCAGCCUCUAGCUCUGUAGUGUUGGAGACGGACACUUGUGCUCCCUGGAUCAUCUCCAGGCACUCCAGGGCCUGCCGGUGUUUGUUCUGGACCUCUUGGCAGGUCGUCACUUCAUCCAUCAGCAAAAGCAGGGACAGCAGAGCACCCAGAGGAUUUGCUCGAACAGGGUCUGUGUCGGUCUUUGCCAGGUUCAUGCUACGAUUUGGCUGUGCAGAUUCGUGAGGAUGAUCCAAACCCAAUCUGAUAGUCCCCGAGAGGACGAAGAUGAAUUUCUCCCUUGUCAUCGUCCCCUCCACCCCCACCCCACGUGUCCUGGAAGCUCUGGAGUCAGUGGGUCUGAUUUAUUCUUGGUGGCAACUAGGAGGGCCCUGGUGUGGAUGCAGCUGGUGAAUCUGCCUUGGCCUUGAGCUCUGACAGCCCUGAUCCCCACCAUUAUUCUUCUCUAUCCUGGACCCAGGAGGCAGUUCUUUGUUGACGGAAUUCAGGCCAGCGGCAGGGACCAGGUGACAUUUCCUUUUCAGGGUAGAAAAACCUUGUGUUCACUUUGACAAAGCUCCUGUGUUUGCCAAAGCCUUAGACGUGAAAAUGAACGCUGCUUUGCUCUCACCAACCUUGAAGGGAAGGGCAGCCUCUCUCAUCCAGAAAGUUUCCAUGAUGACAGCACUUCUGCCCACAUCUCUUCAUAAAUACAGCCAUCAGUGGCAUCUUAAAAAGUGGUGAUGACUGCUAAUAAAAGUCCUUUAUUCUGAUGUAACACUCAGUACUUUCCAAAGCACUGUGACUAUAAGAUUUGAUUCCUAAAUGUUUUAAAUGUGUUUACAGUUGUUAAACGUUCUGUUCUCAUUCUUAAAACCCAAAACAUGUGCACCCGUAUAGCAUAUCAAAUCUCCAAAUUUCUGAGUUUUCAUCACCCUUGCCCUUUUUAUUUUUCUCUUGCCCUUUGGUUGGCUGUUGUGAAUUACACAUUGUCUAGUACCUCAGAUGAUUUAAGUGUUUUAACAAUUUAAAUGUAUGUGAAGCAAGGGAAAAAUAAAUGCAGGGGAAUUCCAAGCCCUCUAACCAGUUGAAAUGAACCCAGUUGAACUACAGUACCUUAGACUUGGAAGGUAUUUCUCUCAAUAGAGAAGGAAAGGGAGCAAUCUAAGGGUGAGAUAAGCUGGGAAGAGCACAGCUGAGGUUUUUCUUAAAGGGACAGGAAAAUAAAAGAGGUAAGUAGACUGUUAGAGGCCUAUCCUACUGCUACAAGAAAAGAUGUGACAUAUGAACAUAUUGCUGUUGCCGUUGAAAUGGUUAUUCAAGGUCUAAGCAUUAACAAGGCAAGUGAAGUCUAGGCUUUUGAAAAGAAUGACGGCAGAGGUUUGGUUCUCACUGAGCACAGGUUUCUAGAUCCUUGUAUGACAGCUUUAAUUCAGAAAUCUCUUGAAGAUGAUUCACAAGCAGAAAAAUAAUGUGGGUAUAAAGAGGCAGGUUUUAUUGGCUCAGACACUUCCAGAGCAUUUGGCACAGGACUAAAACUGUCUGUUCUCAAGGCUAACUCACUUUUCAUUCAGCGCUGAUGUGCUUGGGACACAGGGCUCAUAGAGAAGGCAAAAAGGAAGAGGACUUGAUAUCUAUUGAGUAAGAUAGUGAAGCAUCUUGAAUGGAAAGUUGGUGAUUGGGGCUGACGUCAUUGCAUAUUCUUAAAUUCUACAAGAAGACAGGAAUAUCUCAAAUGUUAUUCUCUGAGGGGAACACCAUCCUCUCCUAUAUCCCUACGUGGUCAACAUCGAAUGAUUUAACAUCUUGGUGUUUUUUUUUUUUUUUUUUUUUUUAGGGCCGCGACCCAGGGCUUAUGGAGUUUCUCACGCUAGGGGUCCAAUCCACAGCCACAGCAACGCCAGAUCCUUAACUCACCGAGUGAGGCCAGGGAUCAAACCUGCCUCCUCAUGGAUGCAGUCGGGCUCGUUGACUGCUGAGUCACGAGGGGAGCUCCUAAUGAUUAAUAUCUUAAUGUGAGGCUUUUCAUACUUGAGUGUGGGGUCAAAUGCAGAAAUUUACACGCUGUGGUGAUGACCUGGCAUCCUGCUGAAGUUGAAACCAAAGGAUCAUCUCUGCCUUCCCUCCUCCCCUAAGAUGCUCCCGAGGCUCUUGUUCUGGUCUUUGUCAAUAGGAGCAUGGGGAUAGGUUUUGGGAAUGGGAGGUUGUAACUGGUAGGGGUUGAGACUGACUUGUGUGCUGUUUCAUGUGGGAAGGUAAUUUGGGCUCAGAAAAACUUGAGAUGGAGGAAAAUUCAACUUCACAAGUUCUUAUGGAGGUACACCACACCAGUUAAAGAGAGCUCAGAUGACAUUUGCCGAGAGAGUUGUAACUAUGUUGAGACACUUCUGAAUGAGAUUAAACAAAGAAGUUUGGGCAUUAAUAUUUUUGGCCUUUGGAAUUCCUAUGGACUUUAGAGAAAAAAAUAAUUUGAUUUUUGAAUUUAAAUUUUCCCUAUAGAUUUAAUAAAGGGCAGAGGUCAUCUUUGACCUUUUGUUUUCUGAUAUUGCAAUAUUGAAAUGUUUUUAUAUCACCUUUUAAAAAAUUUUAUUAUAGUUGAUUUACAGUGUUCUGUCAAUUUCUGCCAUACAGCAAAGUGACCGAGUUAUACAUUUAUAUACAUUCUUUUUUUUAACAUAAUUUUCCGUCAUGUUCCAUCACAAGGAACUCUAUCCAGUCUCUUGGGAUAGACCAUGAUGGAAGAUAAUAUAAUAAAAAGAAUGUAUGGAUAUGUAUGACUGGGUCACUUUGCUGUAAAGCAGAAAUAGGCACACCAUUGUAAAUCAACUAUAUGUUAAUAAAAAAGGAAGUGUGGUGAAAAUUUACUCAGCUUCCCUAAAAAUCUUCCAUAGUGUCUGCCCACUCAGGCUUAUUAGCUGACAGCAUUAGCAUUUACCCUAAAAUUAUUGAAUCAGAAUCUUCCUGGAUGGACUUCAGGAAUUUGUGAUUUUUAUGAUCUUGGUAGAUGAUUUCAGUGCACUGUUAGAUUUUAGUAAUUAGUCCACUUAGGAACUCUGCUUAUGUUGAAUAAUGAGGUUACUCUAUUUAAUUUAUCAUCUAUUUGUUAAUUAUUAGUUUAUUCUUUUGUGUUUGGAAAUAGCUCAAGCUGCAUGAGAUCUCUUACAACCCUCUUGCAAUUUUCUGUCUUGUCUGUGUGGCUCCCUGUUUCCAGAAGACCUCUCCCCCAAGGGUUCCUAGCUAAAUUCUGUACCAGCCCAAACCACAGAUAUCUUAAGGUUCAUUUCAAAGGCUACUUUUUAACUUCAUGUUUUCUCAUGCUAUGUUCCUGGGUUAACUCUCAGGUCACAACGUUUACUAAAGGGAAUUGUAUCUAGAUCUUCACAUCCAGAUUGAAAGCAUCUUGACGGCAGGAAGAUGCCUCGUUUAUCUUUGUGUCCCCUGGGUCCCUUGUGGGUUACCUUUUCUUGUCUUCAAGACUUGCCUAUAGGUCUGUUUGAGUGCCAGGCCUAUGUGUGCCUUUUCUCCUCACCAACUCCCCAUCCAUCCUCUCUCCCUUCAGUCCUGCUGAUUUUAAGACCUUGUAGGUGGUGUCUUUUGCUUCCCGAGUCUUCCUUCUUCUGUUAUCACUCUGUUUAUACAGAUGUCUCACUUGCUCUUUGAUUUUCACUAUUCCAGCUCCAAUUUUGCCAUUUUGGGAUCUUCUAGCUCUUCACUUCAAUAAGUAUGUGGCAGCAGGGGAGAUGGAGUUUUCUCUUUGAAGCCUCUGGCUUUAGUCUUCCUUGAGAGCUUUCUCUGUAUCAUUUUGAAAAAACAUGCCCUGCUGUUCUCUACCUCUUGAAAGAGGGGGAGGCCUUCCUAUUCCUGUUUUGAUCACUGGUUUUAAUCGUAUUUGAACAUUUCUUCCUAAUCCACCUGGAGAAUGUUCUUAUUGUGUAUAUAUUUAUGCCAAAUCCUCCAGCUCUCGAGCAAUUACUUUUGUGUAUGUGUGUGUGUGUGUGUGUGUGUGUGUGACCUGCCAGGAAAUUCUCUUUCACUUUACAUUUGACUACUUCUUUCUUGCACAUAAAUCUUAGUGCUGCUGAAGAGCCACAUUCUUCUUUGGCAAGUACGUUCUGGAUUGUCAUCUCUGAUUCUGGAGUGCUAGCAGUGCUAGCCAAGGAUUCUAAAUAUUUGGCUUUCCCAAAUCACGUUUGGAUCACUUCUAGCCUUGUCGCUUUGCACUAAGAUGUAGUUAUAAUCUCUUUUCCAAACCACAGGCCUUGUUGUCAGUAGGGAAAGUAUCAUUUCUUAAAUGUAUUUCAUUCCUUUUCUCGUUUUGCAGAAAAAAAUCAUCGGGGCUGGGAAGGCAGCCACAGGCUUUUCCAGAUUUUAUGUAAUGGCUCCUUUGAACAAGACAAAUGAUCAUCUAACACAAUCACAAUUUUAUUUUUUAUGAUUUUUUUUGGUCUUCCUUAGUCCCUUUGAAAUUUAUUUUGGGGGGGGAACCCCCUGCCCCUGCCUCCUUCUGCCUAUGACUCUCAUUCCCCUUAGGUGGUAGAAAGUUCUCACAUUGCUUACGUUGUGAACAAGUCUCAAACACGAGAAAGUCAGCUCUAAGAUGAACUGAUGACAUCUUUAUGUCAGGUUCUCUCUUCACCGGGGGGCUGGCCAGGGCUGGCAGUUGGCAGGGAUCCAGGGGGCUGGUUGGCUUCUUUUCUCUUUUUCUACCUGCCACUCCUUUCUCGCCAGCUUGCUAGCUAGCUGCUAACUCUUCCAAGUUCAGUGGUGAGAGAGGAGAGGAUAGGGAAGCUCUUACUCAGACUCGUCCGUUUGAGACUGGUUUCUCACUUGUUGGGAGUGGUGACUGGUUAAAGCUGAGCCUUUCUCUUUAGGGUGACAGUGACAUUUAUUUCAGAGGUGCUCAUCCUGGGGACCUUGCUCCGUUGUUUUGUUUUGUUUUGGGUUUUGACUGAGGAGCAUACGCUUUCUACUCCACUGGUCCUUCUGCAGUCUCUGGAAAUAGAGCAUUUAUGUCUCACUUUCUGUAGGGGUCCCUCUAGGCUUUUAGGCAGCCCCGGUGAAUAGAGCCAGGGCACCCUCAGUUUGGUGUUCUUUCACGUGUGGUCCCAUCUGCUCAUGCCAGGCAUCCAAUCAGCUACCCAUAUCACUUCAGGCUACUGAGCUUUCUUAGGCAUGUGUCAGGACCAGCCCACUGCUUCCAACAGUGGCAGGCACCUUCGAGCCACUAGCUGUUUACUGGAUGGUCAUUUCAAGUGUGCAAUAAAAUUGCUCUUCCUUCAAGGGUUGUCUGGGGAAAGGGCUCAUAUAAGGUUUUGUUAAGGAGGCAGGUGCAAAGUAACAAAAUCUGGCUCAGGAAAUCCAAGAUCCCACCCUUUGGCUUUAUUUGUUGUCAGUGUUUUCUUGCUCCCCGAGGCUGUGGCAGGCUUGUUCUCAUUUCCUACCAUUGGGUCUACAGGCAGCCAGUGUCCCUUGAGUUUCCUGCUUCCUUUGCCUCCCCCUAGUGGCCAAGCAUGUGUAGUCCCAGUGGGCAUCUCCCAUUCAAAGUGAGCUUCACUUUAUGUCUCACAACUACCAAGUAAAUGUGGAUCCUUUAUGGAUCUGGUGUUGUCACUGCAGCAGCCCAGGUCAUUACCAUGGUUGGAGUUUCAUCCAUGGCCCAGCAGCUUCCACAUGCCAGGGUGUGGCCGAAACCACAAUGGCAACAACAACAAAAACCAAUAUAAUACUUGGCAUUUUUCUUCCUGGUAUAGCAACGGAGCCCUUUCUUUUUGCUAGGUGAUGACUCAAUUUAAAAUUUCAUUUUUUUUCUCCAUUUGCUUCCAGCUGGCCUCCUUCUAGUCCUUUAAGAUCUCAGUCUUCUGUGCAGAUGUGUGGUUGCCAAGGGGUGGGGGUCAGGGCAGGGGUGGAUUGUGAGUUUGGGAUUGGCGAAUGCAAACUAUUAUAUAUAGAAUGGAGAAACAAGGUCCUGGGUAUAGCACAGGGAGCUGUAUUCAAUAUCAUGUGAUAAACCAUAAUGGAAAAGAAUAUGGGAAUUCCCGUUGUGGCUCAGCGGUAACGAACCUGACUAGUAUUCAUGAGGAUGCGGGUUUGAUCCCUGGCCUUGCUCAGUGGGUUAAGUAUCCAGUGUUGCCUUGAGCUGUGGUGUAGGUCGCAGAUGCGGCUCGGAUCCCGUGUUGCUGUGGCUGUGGUGUAGGCAGGCAGAUCAGCUCUAUUCGACCCCUAGCCCAGGAACGUCCAUAUGCCAUGUGCAGUCCUGAAAAGCAAAAAAAAAAAAAAAAAAAAAAAAAAAAAAA